RNAcentral lists this ribosomal RNA (468 nucleotides) under uncultured bacterium. RNAcentral describes it as "partial 16S ribosomal RNA". It matches the Rfam family "Bacterial small subunit ribosomal RNA", at positions 28 to 507 of the family's 1533-position model. The record is from RNAcentral.
GACGAACGCUUGCUGCUUUCUUCACCCAUGCACGUCGAACGGAAAGGCCCUGCUUUUGUGGGGUGCUCGAGUGGCGAACGGGUGAGUAACACGUGAGUAACCUGCCCUUGACUUUGGGAUAACUUCAGUAAACUGGGGCUAAUACCGGAUAGGAGCUCCUGCUGCAUGGUGGGGGUUGGAAAGUUUCGGCGGUUGGGGAUGGACUCGCGGCUUAUCAGCUUGUUGGUGGGGUAGUGGCUUACCAAGGCUUUGACGGGUAGCCGGCCUGAGAGGGUGACCGGCCACAUUGGGAAGGAGAUACGGCCCAGACUCCUACGGGAGGCAGCAGUGGGGAAUAUUGCACAAUGGGCGGAAGCCUGAUGCAGCAACGCCGCGUGCGGGAGGACGGCCGUCGGGUUGUAAACCGCUUUCGCCUGUGACGAAGCGUGAGUGACGGUAAUGGGUAAAGAAGCACAGGCGAACUACGGG